This 255-nucleotide ribosomal RNA is filed under the name Triticum aestivum (bread wheat). RNAcentral describes it as "partial small subunit ribosomal RNA". Lineage: Eukaryota; Viridiplantae; Streptophyta; Magnoliopsida; Poales; Poaceae. The record is from RNAcentral.
AUGGGUCAUACUCUCAGGCUCAGGACAACCAUGCCCCCUCGUACCACCAGAACGGGAAGGCCCCUGAUUUCCACGCCGAGGAGCCGAGGCCGCUGGCAUACAACAGCGGCGUUGUGGAAAGGCCGCCGCCGCCUCAGCACCAGUGGGUGCCCCCUCAGCCUCCAGGUGUUGCCAUGCCAGAAGCGGCGGCCGCCAUCCGUCAACAGAAGUCCCUUACGAAGCAACCGUCCAGCGACAUGUCCGAGGCGACGGUGA